GCUGCUGGAGAGCUAACCGAUGGCACCUUGCUGAGGGAGCUGUACAUCGCCCUGCGAGUCCCCGAUGCCCUCCGCGACCUACUGCGAGGCAACGUGCGGCAACUGCGGCCGAACGUGCUCGACGCGUGCAAUGCGCGCGCCAAAGCUCGUGCGGCGUUGGACCUGGAGGCGCAAUCUGCGGGGAGACCCCGCACAUCAGCGGAGCUAGCGCUGACCGUGUACUGGGACAUGACGGGCAGGGCAUGCCUG
RNAcentral lists this long non-coding RNA (249 nucleotides) under Chlamydomonas reinhardtii. RNAcentral's name for it is "long non-coding RNA (CREI_LNC001111)". Lineage: Eukaryota; Viridiplantae; Chlorophyta; Chlorophyceae; Chlamydomonadales; Chlamydomonadaceae. The record is from RNAcentral.